This 450-nucleotide ribosomal RNA is filed under the name uncultured Glomus. RNAcentral describes it as "SSU rRNA". It matches the Rfam family "Eukaryotic small subunit ribosomal RNA", at positions 569 to 1025 of the family's 1831-position model. Lineage: Eukaryota; Fungi; Glomeromycota; Glomeromycetes; Glomerales; Glomeraceae. The record is from RNAcentral.
AGCAGCCGCGGUAAUUCCAGCUCCAAUAGCGUAUAUUAAAGUUGUUGCAGUUAAAAAGCUCGUAGUUGAAUUUCGGGACCAUCAUGUCGGUCGUGCCUCGGUACGUACUGGCAUUGUUGGUUUCUCCCUUCUGACGAACCAUGAUGUCAUUUAUUUGGUGUUGUGGGGAAUCAGGACUGUUACUUUGAAAAAUUAGAGUGUUUAAAGCAGGCUCACGCUUGAAUACAUUAGCAUGGAAUAAUGAAAUAGGACGUUUGAUUCUAUUUUGUUGGUUUCUAGGAUCGACGUAAUGAUUAAUAGGGAUAGUUGGGGGCAUUAGUAUUCAAUUGUCAGAGGUGAAAUUCUUGGAUUUAUUGAAGACUAACUACUGCGAAAGCAUUUGCCAAGGAUGUUUUCAUUAAUCAAGAACGAAAGUUAGGGGAUCGAAGACGAUCAGAUACCGUCGUAGUC